UCCCUGGUGGUCUAGUGGUUAAGAUUUGGUACUUUCACUGCUGUAUCCUGGGUUCAAUCCCCAGUCUGGGAA
Non-coding RNA from Phacochoerus africanus (Common warthog), 72 nucleotides. The record is from the annotation of a RefSeq genome assembly. NCBI's taxonomy places the organism in Eukaryota, Metazoa, Chordata, Mammalia, Artiodactyla, Suidae.